Molecule: ribosomal RNA, 490 nt
Filed under: uncultured bacterium
Lineage: Bacteria
Description: partial 16S ribosomal RNA
Rfam family: Bacterial small subunit ribosomal RNA
Source: RNAcentral
AUUGAACGCUGGCGGCAGGCCUAACACAUGCAAGUCGAACGGUAACAGAAAGCAGCUUGCUGCUUUGCUGACGAGUGGCGGACGGGUGAGUAAUGUCUGGGAAACUGCCUGAUGGAGGGGGAUAACUACUGGAAACGGUAGCUAAUACCGCAUAACGUCGCAAGACCAAAGAGGGGGACCUUCGGGCCUCUUGCCAUCGGAUGUGCCCAGAUGGGAUUAGCUUGUUGGUGGGGUAACGGCUCUCCAAGGCGACGAUCCCUAGCUGGUCUGAGAGGAUGACCAGCCACACUGGAACUGAGACACGGUCCAGACUCCUACGGGAGGCAGCAGUGGGGAAUAUUGCACAAUGGGCGCAAGCCUGAUGCAGCCAUGCCGCGUGUAUGAAGAAGGCCUUCGGGUUGUAAAGUACUUUCAGCGGGGAGGAAGGGAGUAAAGUUAAUACCUUUGCUCAUUGACGUUACCCGCAGAAGAAGCACCGGCUAACUCCGUG